This is a long non-coding RNA of Macrobrachium nipponense, 1415 nucleotides long. RefSeq lists it as uncharacterized. NCBI's taxonomy places the organism in Eukaryota, Metazoa, Arthropoda, Malacostraca, Decapoda, Palaemonidae. The transcript has 4 exons. The record is from RefSeq and is a predicted model, not a curated record.
GCUCUUUGUUCACACCUGGAACUUGAGAAGCACUAGCAGACAGUGACAGCCGCCAUAUUUCAUUGUGAUGUCCACGUAAUCAAGUGAAUUAAUGCUAUUUGUUUUUUUAUGUGUGGAAGCCAUAGUUUUGUUAUUUUACUAACGGUUAGUCGUAAUCACGGCAGUUUAUUACAGUCGUUUAUACUAGGUGUUGUCCAGAAAGAAGAAUAAUACAGCGAGAAAGAGCUUCUAAAAGGAAGUGUUGUCUGCUAAGGUCCCAACCAGUCAACAAGCUAUGUCCCAGGAGAUUCGGAAUUUCGUGGAAAUAAUCAUUAUCGGAAAUGUGUGGUUUCUUGUGACAGCAGAAUGACUGUAAUGGUAUGGACUCCAACUGCUUAUACUCGUGGACCUUUUUUUUUAUUGACGAUUUACAGCUGCUGCAAAACCUACCCUUAAGUCGUCAUCCUUUGGGGUUAAUUCAAGCAUGCCUCCCCAGUAGGAACUCUUGUUUCCAGUCUUCAAGAUGAUUUAACCUUAUUUGCUAAAUCCCAGGUCACAGUUCUCACCCAGCAGCAACCCCCAAGUCAUAAAUGAGUACAUGAAUGAGUCCACUGAGUCACUACCAGAUUCUUUGGACUUAAUCAGUGAACAUCCCAGAGGGAUUUAUUCUGUGAAUGGAAAUACAGAGAGAAGAGAUGAGUAAACUGAAGAAACGCACAACACAGAGAACAAUGUAUCUGGGGCUAAUUGUUACCAAAGGCAGUCUCGAAUACCAUCUGUGUUGUGCUCGGUCCAGCGUAUACUUCCAGCUUGAGUUUGCUCCUGGUCAAUUCUCAGAUAGUAAUCAGUCCAUGUAACCUAUAAAGUGUUAAUUUGAAGUCGUUUCCAUUCAUCUUUUUAUGUAAUUUUCCAAACGUGAGGUUAGACCUCAGAAGUGUCCUCCCUGUUAUUUCUAGUGUACGUUCUCCUUGAAUUUCCAUGUGGUUUCAGACCAUCCCUUACCCAUACCUUCCUUUCCCAUAAUCCUAAACUUAGUUUUGCUUGUUUUGGUUCUCAGUCCUCAGCUCAACUUGUCAGUCUGUCAUCUUCUUAAACAAUAUUGUAUGAAUCAUCCUGAUUUUGUUGUUAACACCAAGUCAUCUACAUGCUGAAGCUCCCAGGGGAUUCUCUCUUCAAUUUUGUGUAACGUCCCCAGUUUUUCGAGUUAUGGUUUCUGCCACAAUAUUCACUCAAGUUUUCAUAUCAUGAUAAUGCUAACUACCAACACUUAACAAGUCCUCCUUUUGCCCGUUUCUUUUCCAGUGCCCCUUCUAAUUGCAUUUCUUGGUAGUACCCAUUAAAAUGCCAUCUCGAUUUUUUGUCUACAUUGGAUUUUGGUGUCUGGGAGGUUGCACAAUGCAUAAAGCAGGCUAAGCUUAUUGUUUGGGUUCAUAUAU